This 253-nucleotide ribosomal RNA is filed under the name uncultured bacterium. Its description in RNAcentral is "partial 16S ribosomal RNA". It matches the Rfam family "Bacterial small subunit ribosomal RNA", at positions 524 to 776 of the family's 1533-position model. The record is from RNAcentral.
UACGGAGGGUGCUAGCGUUGUUCGGAAUCACUGGGCGUAAAGGGCGUGUAGGCGGUCUGUUAAGUCUGAUGUGAAAUCCCCUCGCUCAACGAGGGAACUGCGUCGGAUACUGGCAGACUCGAGUACCGGAGAGGAAGGUGGAAUUCCGGGUGUAGCGGUGGAAUGCGUAGAGAUCUGGAGGAACACCGAUGGCGAAGGCAGCCUUCUGGGCCAACACUGACGCUCAUGCACGAAAGCGUGGGGAGCAAACAGG